Molecule: ribosomal RNA, 492 nt
Filed under: uncultured bacterium
Lineage: Bacteria
Description: partial 16S ribosomal RNA
Rfam family: Bacterial small subunit ribosomal RNA
Source: RNAcentral
AGUGAACGCUGGCGGUAGGCCUAACACAUGCAAGUCGAACGGCAGCACAGUAAGAGCUUGCUCUUACGGGUGGCGAGUGGCGGACGGGUGAGGAAUACAUCGGAAUCUACUUUUUCGUGGGGGAUAACGUAGGGAAACUUACGCUAAUACCGCAUACGACCUACGGGUGAAAGCAGGGGAUCUUCGGACCUUGCGCGAUUGAAUGAGCCGAUGUCGGAUUAGCUAGUUGGCGGGGUAAAGGCCCACCAAGGCGACGAUCCGUAGCUGGUCUGAGAGGAUGAUCAGCCACACUGGAACUGAGACACGGUCCAGACUCCUACGGGAGGCAGCAGUGGGGAAUAUUGGGCAAUGGGCGCAAGCCUGAUCCAGCCAUACCGCGUGGGUGAAGAAGGCCUUCGGGUUGUAAAGCCCUUUUGUUGGGAAAGAAAAGCAGCAGGAUAAUACCCCGCUGUUCUGACGGUACCCAAAGAAUAAGCACCGGCUAACUUCGUG